Molecule: ribosomal RNA, 253 nt
Filed under: uncultured bacterium
Lineage: Bacteria
Description: partial 16S ribosomal RNA
Rfam family: Bacterial small subunit ribosomal RNA
Source: RNAcentral
GACAGAGGGUGCAAGCGUUGUUCGGAAUUACUGGGCGUAAAGGGCGUGUAGGCGGUGAGGUGUGUCUGGUGUGAAAGCCCUCGGCUUAACCGAGGAAUGGCAUUAGAAACUACCUUGCUGGAGUGCAGGAGAGGAUGGCGGAAUUCCCAGUGUAGAGGUGAAAUUCGUAGAUACUGGGAGGAACACCGGAAGCGAAGGCGGCCAUCUGGUCUGUAACUGACGCUGAGACGCAAAAGCGUGGGGAGCAAACAGG